GAAAACAGUCCAACUAUUAUUAUAAUAUUAUGACAUGAAUUCAUCUUCUACGGUAAUUAUGACUGAAGAAGAAGAUCUUCUCUCAGCCUGAAGGUGUCUGACACACAUUGUUCCUCAGAACUUUAAUAAUGUGUUGGGAAACAAAGGGUCUGAUGAUCGGGGCGGAUCAACCACAGAUUAAUGUGAUUCAUAAUCAAUCCUCAGGACGUUUGUCUGGUCUUGAAUUUAUGGAUUUUAAAACUGAGCAAAACCUGAGAACUUUCUCAUGUCAGAGGCUCUUUUCUUCUCUCUUAAAGGAACAUUCCAGCCUGAAAUGCAGCGACGCAGCUCCUCUUGUGCUUCUCCUGAGUCUGGAGGUCUGCUGAAGGUCCUUGAGUAAAUAGGAGCAUGAAGAGUGUCUUUCUUCAAGUCCUCGUCUCGCUGCGUGUCCAACACCUGGUUCCACACUAAUGGGCACAAUACGGCCGUUAUUAAAAGGAAGAACGUUUACGAGAGAACGGAUCAGAUUGAAGAGCUUUUAAAUAUGAGCGCUUGUACAAGCCGUCAUUGGCGGACUAUGAGGACGCCGGAUGGCCUCUGAUUCAUGGAGGGAGAUCUCCACCAACGAGGGGAACAAAGUCGUGGAGGAAAAUACGGGACAAAUGUGUCCUUGAUGAAAAGCAGCAGUGUGGAUGCACGGGGCAAUAAAGUCUAUGAUACAUAAAUAAAGCAACCAGCGACUUCCACACACAAAGACGUGACUCUCCAGGUCGUCUUCAACAAAACACGUGACUCCGCCUGUUGUUCUGGAGGUGAAUCGCUCUGCAACACACGCAGGACUUUACAACCAGGAAGUGAAACCAGUGCGUAAAGACGUGUAAAGACGCAGAAACACGCGGCGGCCUUCAGAGGAGCAGCAGCGCCCCCUAGAGGUCCGAGCCAUUAGAGGCGCAUCCACGUGCACGUAUAGAAAUGCAUCCACAAAUCAUGUCUGAUAUUAUCUUUACAGAUAGUGAAACGUAAUAAUUGAAUAAAUCCUCUGACUUACAUUAGAUACAAUAAGAACAUUUUUUAUCAACCUUUGGAACUACGAUAAAUAAUUAAACUCAUUAUCAACGUUUUGAUUUAAAACAAAUGCAAACAUAAAUACUAAAACUAAAUACAACAACACGUGAUUUUAACUUCAUACAUGAAAUACAGAAUACAUCAUGAGAUCACCAAAGCUAACUUGUUAUUGGUAUAUGUAUUUAUAUAUUUAGAUGUGUUUAUGUAUUUUUAUAAAUGAAUAAAGUGAAAUAUAAGUGUAUUUAAAUAUUAAAUAAUUGAAUAGUGUAUUCAUUUAUAUAUUGUGUAUUUAUUGAUUUAAAUGUUUGCAUUUAUUCAUGUAUUCAUUUCUGAUUUUUUUAAAUUCACUAUUGUAGUUAAUAAUGCAAAUGUGUGUAUUUAAUUGAUAUAGAUACAAAUACAUAUUGUUCCUGUAGUUUUAUUGACUUUAUUCAUGUAGCAUUGCGUUGGGUGUAUUCGAGCAGGUACAUGUAUACAUGUGUGUACUACGCGUAUUACUGGGGCGCGGGGACAGCGUCUCCCGGUGGGAGUGGUCUCCUGCGGGUCACGUGGGCCGAGCCUUUGUUGAUUCGCUUCAGUAGAAACAAGAAGAACAGCAGGACGAAAAGAGAAGACAAGACAGUCCCGGUUCAACCGACCCACCGAAUCCUCCAAUCGUCCCCGGCGCAGACUCGCUCCUCGUCGGCCUGGAUGCUGCUGGAAGCCCGCUCGCCUUUUCACCCGGAUCUCUUUUGUCGGCCGCGGCGCGAGGUUCUCCCCGCCGGUUGGAGCGCGAGGCAGCGGGGGGAUGGAGGCUCGCUGCGGGCUGUGAGCAGACUGGCUUUAGGGGGGUGGAGGUGUGCGUGAGUGGGGGUCGGCCGAAGCCACAGGCCCUGCUUCGCUUUGUUAUCUCGUGUUUUCUCCCCGGAGCUUCUCCUCCUCAACCCGCCGGAGGAGGCUCGUUUGUCCGGAUGUGAAGGUCUCCAGGCUUGGUCUGAGGGACGUAUCCACGCAGUCUUUGUUUGUAGACCUCGACCUCCCCCCCCACAGACCUGAGCCUCUAGCUUUAUUUAAACCUCCAUCCUCCCCGGCUCCACCCCCCUCCCCUCCGGCCUCCAUCAUGGCUGCGGUGUGCCGGGUCUCCUGGUCCUGCUGCCUGCUGGUUCUGCUGGUUCUCCCCACCGUUCGGAGCUCGUUCCCCCGCAGCGGAGCGGACUGCGGCCCCGGGAAGGCCGCCGACUGCCCAGGUGAGAAACAACAACAACAACCCUCUGCACCUGUCUGCAGCAGGUCUUCUCUUGUCAGCUGGUCUUCUGAUCAUGUGGAGGUUUGAAGGGGUCAAAGGUCACAGUUUGACCCCCCCCCCUCUCCCCUUCUCCUUCAAGCUCCAGCUGAUCAUUAGUCCAGCUGUUGUGUGGACACAUCUUUUAGUUCUCCGUUGUCAUGGCGACCAGUUUCCUUUGGCCC
Long non-coding RNA from Gasterosteus aculeatus aculeatus (three-spined stickleback), 2490 nucleotides. The record is from Ensembl. Lineage: Eukaryota; Metazoa; Chordata; Actinopteri; Perciformes; Gasterosteidae.